This 56-nucleotide transfer RNA is filed under the name Biomphalaria glabrata. It matches the Rfam family "tRNA", at positions 8 to 63 of the family's 71-position model. Rfam says of the family: Transfer RNA (tRNA) molecules are approximately 80 nucleotides in length. Their secondary structure includes four short double-helical elements and three loops (D, anti-codon, and T loops). Lineage: Eukaryota; Metazoa; Mollusca; Gastropoda; Planorbidae. The record is from Rfam by way of RNAcentral.
UGGCUGAGCGUUAAAGCGCUUGUCUUCCGAACCGGAGUCCCGGGUUCAAAUCCUGG